Molecule: ribosomal RNA, 585 nt
Filed under: uncultured bacterium
Lineage: Bacteria
Description: partial 16S ribosomal RNA
Rfam family: Bacterial small subunit ribosomal RNA
Source: RNAcentral
UGGGGAAUUUUGGACAAUGGGCGAAAGCCUGAUCCAGCAAUGCCGCGUGUGUGAAGAAGGCCUUCGGGUUGUAAAGCACUUUUGUCCGGAAAGAAAUCCUUGGCUCUAAUACAGUCGGGGGAUGACGGUACCGGAAGAAUAAGCACCGGCUAACUACGUGCCAGCAGCCGCGGUAAUACGUAGGGUGCAAGCGUUAAUCGGAAUUACUGGGCGUAAAGCGUGCGCAGGCGGUUUGCUAAGACCGAUGUGAAAUCCCCGGGCUCAACCUGGGAACUGCAUUGGUGACUGGCAGGCUAGAGUAUGGCAGAGGGGGGUAGAAUUCCACGUGUAGCAGUGAAAUGCGUAGAGAUGUGGAGGAAUACCGAUGGCGAAGGCAGCCCCCUGGCAAGUACUGACGCUCAUGCACGAAAGCGUGGGGAGCAAACAGGAUUAGAUACCCUGGUAGUCCACGCCCUAAAACGAUGUCAACUAGUUGUUGGGGGAUUCAUUUCCUUAGUAACGUAGCUAACGCGUGAAGUUGACCGCCUGGGGAGUACGGUCGCAAGAUUAAAACUCAAAUGAAUUGACGGGGUCAUGCUGUUUCCU